AUCGAAUAAAGGUGACGGUUCGGU
This 24-nucleotide non-coding RNA is filed under the name Arabidopsis thaliana (thale cress). The record is from RNAcentral. Lineage: Eukaryota; Viridiplantae; Streptophyta; Magnoliopsida; Brassicales; Brassicaceae.